Molecule: ribosomal RNA, 451 nt
Filed under: uncultured bacterium
Lineage: Bacteria
Description: partial 16S ribosomal RNA
Rfam family: Bacterial small subunit ribosomal RNA
Source: RNAcentral
AUUGAACGCUGGCGGAAUGCUUAACACAUGCAAGUCGAACGGGUGUAGCAAUACAUCAGUGGCAGACGGGUGAGUAACACGUGGGAACCUUCCUAGAGGUACGGAACAACUCAGGGAAACUUGAGCUAAUACCGUAUAAGCUCUUGCGCGGAAAGAUUUAUCGCCUUUAGACGGGCCCGCGUAGGAUUAGGUAGUUGGUGGGGGAAUGGCCUACCAAGCCUACGAUCCUUAGCUGAUCUGAGAGGAUGAUCAGCCACACUGGGACUAAGACACGGCCCAGACUCCUACGGGAGGCAGCAGUGGGGAAUCUUGGACAAUGGGCGCAAGCCUGAUCCAGCCAUGCCGCGUGAGUGAAGAAGGCCUUCGGGUUGUAAAGCUCUUUUACCAGGGACGAUAAUGACGGUACCUGGAGAAUAAGCCCCGGCAAACUUCGUGCCAGCCGCCGCAGUAA